This is a small nuclear RNA of Mustela putorius furo (domestic ferret), 192 nucleotides long. Its record names the gene U2. It matches the Rfam family "U2 spliceosomal RNA". Rfam says of the family: U2 is a small nuclear RNA (snRNA) component of the spliceosome (involved in pre-mRNA splicing). Complementary binding between U2 snRNA (in an area lying towards the 5' end but 3' to hairpin I) and the branchpoint sequence (BPS) of the intron results the bulging out of an unpaired adenosine, on the BPS, which initiates a nucleophilic attack at the intronic 5' splice site, thus starting the first of two transesterification reactions that mediate splicing. NCBI's taxonomy places the organism in Eukaryota, Metazoa, Chordata, Mammalia, Carnivora, Mustelidae. The record is from Ensembl.
AUCGCUUCUUGGCCUUUUAGCUAAGAUUAGGUGUAGUAUCUGUUCUUAUCAGUUUAAUAUCUGAUAUUGUCCUCUAUCUGAGGACAAUAUAUUAAAUGGAUUUUUGGAGUAGGGAGUUGAAAUAGGAGCUUGCUCCGUCCACUCCAUGCAUCGACCUGGUAUUGCAGUACUUCCAGGAAUGGUGCACGCUCC